GGAGCAGCCCUGCUCCCCUCAGCCCCUCUGAGCUGCUCAUCCCUACCUCCUCCUUUCAUCCCUGCUUCUGGAUUAAUCCCGUCACAGCCCAGGAAGGAGCUGGGAAAGGAAGAGGAUUUCUGCUUGAAAGGAAAAAGAAAGGAGAGGAGUUGUAAAAGCUGGGGAUGGAGGAGGGAAUAGAAACAUCCUUCUUUCAAGGAAAAGAUGCUGUGGCUGCUGUUCUGGGUACCAUAUGCCAGCUACAUCGUUGGAUUUAAGAGGCCUUGGAAAUACAAAGUAUGAUUACCCAGGACACAGCAAUUUAAAUUGAACAAGAAAUUAUCAAGAAAUACAGGUGCAUUUAAUAGAGGCUUCUGGAACAGUGUGCUGGGGCUUUGGUGAAUCGGUGGGCAUUGUUUGGGGAUUACAGGGUGGGGCUCUGUGGGCUGUGGGAGAGAAGACAUCAGAGGACACCAUCCCUCCUGGCCUUGGCUCAGCAAGCCUGUUCCUGCUCACCUUGGGAGACAUCCACGGGCAGACAGCGCCUCGGAAAUCCUGGAUGGAUUAUCUGGGUGUGCUCAGGGGCAAAGGGAAGCACCAAACCUUGUGGCACCCCUGGCUGGGGCAGGGCCGUGGCCACCCUGCCAGGGCACUGUCCCACUGGAGGGACUGGGGAAAAAACACACGUGAAAAAUGAAAAAAAAAAAUCUAUUAAAAAAAAAGAUACAGAACCCCAGGUUAAUCUUUUCCUUAAGAAAGGACCUUAAAGUUCCUUUAGUCCAACCCCCUGCCAUGGGCAGGACACCUUUCUCUAGCCCAGGUUGCUCCAAGCCCUGUCUAACCUAGCCUUGGACACUUCCAGGGAUUCUGUCUGGACACACAAGAGUUUUGGGUUUUGAUAGAUGUGGGUUUGUAGGAAUGAAUAUUUCCUCUGCCAAGAAAGUUUGUGAUCCUUGGGGUCUCUGCAGAAUGGAAUUCUGUGACCCCUCACAGUGCUGGCAAUCCCAGAGACCAGGUAACACACACAAUGGCCACAAGCAG
Molecule: long non-coding RNA, 1020 nt
Organism: Melospiza melodia melodia
Lineage: Eukaryota; Metazoa; Chordata; Aves; Passeriformes; Passerellidae
Exons: 4
Source: RefSeq, a predicted model, not a curated record